AUGGAAUUGCGAUCGGGCCGUCGCCUCAGCUCUCUGCCGCCGCGCAAGCGCAACAAGUCGCUCAAUCGGCGUUCCAAUCGUAUCACGGAGUCAACGCCGUCCAACAUCGACAUCGGCCGGGAUGAGGACAGAAUCAGCACGCUCUCGGACUACCUCCUCCUCGGAAUCCUCGAACGGGUCGACCUUCCCUCGGCCGUCCGCGCCGGCGCGGUCUCGACGCGGUGGCAGCACCUCCCGCACCAGCUAUCGCACCUGCACCUCGAUGUUGGCCACUUCCCCGGCGCCACGCCGCUCGAGACCAUGGACGCCUUCACGGGCGCGAUGCGCAGGUUGCUGUCCACGUGUUCUCCUGCGGCUGACUGCAACAGCAGUCGUGCCAUCAAGACCCUAAUUCUCAGCUUCUACAUGUCAUCCACUCACCUUUGCUCCAUUGGCCGCACCGUCGAGGACGUCGUCACCCACAGCGCGACUGAAAGGCUUGAGUUUAACAUAUCCCUGCCGUCUGCGAACAAAACGAGGUUUGGGAAGCAGUUCAUGUCCUUCUCCCGCUCCUGCCGGGUCACCUUUCGAUGUCUCACGAGGCUUACACUCAAGAACCUUGCUUUUGGACAUUCCGACGUCACAAAUCUCAUUAACGCUUGUGAUAGGCUCGACCACCUCACCCUGAGUUGUUGCAGAUUGGUUAAGCACUCCGCGCUCAAGAUUGACACGCCUUGUUCCGGAAUCAAGGAGCUCAAGUUCAUCUGCUUUAUGUGCACGUGGAUCGAGCUCAUCUCUGUCCCUAAACUUAGGCAAGUGCGGUGCGUAUGUUGGCCCUUCGAAAACCCUCCGGUGCGCUUCGGCUACGUUCUAGAGCUUCGUGAUGUAAGUCUUAUAAAUGAAGCCAUGGCAUGGCAGGCACCAUUCAAACUGAGUGAGUGCCUAUCAAGGAGUGCCAAGAACCUGUCGAGACUGAUACUUCAUUUUGGCCACCAAAUGAUUUGGAUUCAGCCAGAACAUCCGAAGAACCUUGCUGCUAUAUUCAGAAACUUGGCCACUGUGUUUCUUUUGGGUAUGUUCCGUGAGUGUGAUCUAAGCUGGACUCUGUUUACACUUGAAGCUGCACCUGCCUUGCGGAGUAUUACAUUAUUUCGACAUUCAUGUGUCAAAACACCCGAGAGCAGUGCCGAAAAGACCAACGUGGUCUGGGAGCUAUCCAAGGAUUUGAAGCACCUGAACUUGAAGGUGUUGCUGAUCUUUGGGUGUGAGGACGAAGACAGGGUGACAAACUAUAUAAGGCUUGUCAUGGAACGAGCUAAGGGAUUGAAGAGAAUCGACCUGCGUGGUGAAUACCCAUGCGAGGACUGCAACACCAUCGACCUUGAAAGAUCCAACGUGGAAAAGGAUGGCAGGCGUCGGAUUAAGGAGGGACUCACCCAUGGAUCCUCCUCGUCCGUGGAAAUAAUAAUAUGUUGA
RNAcentral lists this ribosomal RNA (1455 nucleotides) under Triticum aestivum (bread wheat). RNAcentral's name for it is "partial small subunit ribosomal RNA". Lineage: Eukaryota; Viridiplantae; Streptophyta; Magnoliopsida; Poales; Poaceae. The record is from RNAcentral.